Molecule: long non-coding RNA, 773 nt
Organism: Oncorhynchus keta (chum salmon)
Lineage: Eukaryota; Metazoa; Chordata; Actinopteri; Salmoniformes; Salmonidae
Exons: 3
Source: RefSeq, a predicted model, not a curated record
UCCUUGCCAGCACCCGACCGAAAUAAACAAACAAAGAACACAGAGUAAAUGAAAGGUCUGUGAACUUUUCCCUUUCUCUUCAGCAGUGAGAUGAGAUGAUGUUUUCGCUGCUGCUACUACUACUACUGUUGAGGAGAGGAGUCAGGAGCUGCGUGGGGGAAUAUUUGACAGUUUGAGGAAAAGCUUGUAGCCAAACGUGAAGAACGCCUACAAAAAUAAUAUUUUGGGGGAAAAAGGAACAUUGGCUAUCUAACUGGGAGUCUCGUGAGUGAAAACAUCUGAAGCUCAAAGGUGAAAAUCAUCACUCCCCAAUCAAUCAUCAAUCAGAAGACACACCUCCUAUUUCCUGACCGAUCACAGUUCCUUCCCCAUGGUUUAAAAACCCCAUCAUUUGUUUGUUCUAGAGCUCAGCUCAAUCUCUCUGUAAUGCCAUGUCUGUAGGUCUCUGUGUUUCACUCUCGCUUUGUGUCUUAACCUCUCUUUUGUUUAAAGCACUUCAUAGCACUUUGUCAUCACCUGUGAGUAUUAUUUUUGGUUAUGGUAUUUGUUUGUUGCUGGUGGGAAAAGGGGGAAACCAAGACAAGUCGCCCAUGGGCAUACACUACCCGUAGGUGAACUUUGUUAAAUACACUAGUUAGAACUGGGCGGACCACCCACUGUAUUUUUGGUUAGUUAGUUAGCUGUUAAAGUAGGCUAGUCUAGCUUAGGGGUGUUUUUUGAAUACUUAUAUUUUCUUUCCUUGUGUUUAUAAAUAAACCUGGAGUUUGACGGUA